This 740-nucleotide ribosomal RNA is filed under the name uncultured soil bacterium. RNAcentral describes it as "bacterial SSU rRNA". It matches the Rfam family "Bacterial small subunit ribosomal RNA", at positions 49 to 767 of the family's 1533-position model. The record is from RNAcentral.
UCAGACAUGCAAGUCGAACGCGAAAGUUCCCUUCGGGGGGCGAGUAGAGUGGCGCACGGGUGAGUAACACGUAGGUAAUCUACCUUUGGAUGGGGAAUAACAAUCGGAAACGAUUGCUAAUAUCGCAUAAUGCAGCGGCACCUAAUGGUGACAGUUGUUAAAGCGGGGGAUCGAAAAACCUCGCGUCUAAAGAGGAGCCUGCGGCGGAUUAGCUAGUUGGUAAGGUAACGGCUUACCAAGGCAACGAUCCGUAGCCGGCCUGAGAGGGCGGUCGGCCACACUGACACUGACAUACGGGUCAGACUCCUACGGGAGGCAGCAGUCGGGAAUUUUGGGCAAUGGGCGAAAGCCUGACCCAGCAACGCCGCGUGAGGGAUGAAAUCCCUCGGGAUGUAAACUUCGCAAGAACGGGAAGAAUAAGUAGGGGACAAUACCCCCUAUGAUGACGGUACCGUUUGUAAGCUCCGGCUAACUCCGUGCCAGCAGCCGCGGUAAUACGGGGGGAGCAGGCGUUGUUCGGAUUUACUGGGCGUAAAGGGCGCGUAGGCGGCCAGCACAAGUCAGUUGUGAAAUCUCCGAGCUUAACUCGGAAAGGUCAACUGAUACUGUGCGACUAGAGUGCGGAAGGGGCAACUGGAAUUCUCGGUGUAGCGGUGAAAUGCGUAGAUAUCGAGAGGAACACCAGCGGCGAAGGCGGGUUGCUGGGCCGACACUGACGCUGAGGCGCGAAAGCCAGGGGA